RNAcentral lists this non-coding RNA (49 nucleotides) under Lachnospiraceae bacterium NK4A179. Its description in RNAcentral is "rumen bacterium NK4A179 DUF3800-XI RNA". It matches the Rfam family "DUF3800-XI RNA". Rfam says of the family: Actinobacteria, Firmicutes, Proteobacteria, Spirochaetes (1 example). Lineage: Bacteria; Bacillati; Bacillota; Clostridia; Lachnospirales; Lachnospiraceae. The record is from Rfam by way of RNAcentral.
GGGGCUGACCGAAAGGUCUUGGUCCACCGAAACGGCGUGGGGAUCCCGC